Molecule: unclassified non-coding RNA, 613 nt
Filed under: Hevea brasiliensis (rubber tree)
Lineage: Eukaryota; Viridiplantae; Streptophyta; Magnoliopsida; Malpighiales; Euphorbiaceae
Source: RNAcentral
GUUGGCGGGGUGUUUGGUUUAUAAUUGAUAUCUCAAUUUCCACAUAUUGGAAAUUCUCCUACUAGUUUUCAACCAUCUAAAGCCUUGCCCAUCACCCAACUCUGGAUGAUGGAAUAAAAAUUACCGAGGGCACAUCCAGCAACUGUUUGCCUCUAAAGUGAACAAAGGUAUAUCAUUAACCCAGAGUCUUUAGAUUGAACCAACUUCCUUCUAAAAUCUCAAUCACAAUAUAUAAAUCUAACUCCUCAAAAUUCCUCUACAAUAUCCAUCUCCAAUAAGCUCUAGUUUAAUAAUCAGUUAAGCUCAUUAUUAAAAUUUAAACCAUUCAUUGAAGUUCAACAUCAACUGAUACACAUGAUGUGGAAACUUAUUACAAGUCUCCAUGGUCACUGACCUGACUAGAGUUCAUUCACAACAGCAGAAGAAAGGAAAAGGGCCAUUGAUGUUUCUUUCUAAACUUCACAGUUUACACAAAAAAGGAAGAAGGUAGCUAAUGCUUCCACUAAACUACAAAGAAAUAAUAAAAAGAUAAUGCUAAAAUGGUAAUAAAAUUAGCAACAUCAAAGUUGGAGAUAAAUGAUAAGCAACAAUAAAUAAAAAUAAAAAUAAAAUU